CCUACGGGAGGCAGCAGUGAGGGAUAUUGGUCAAUGGGCGAAACCCUGAACCAGCAACGCCGCGUGAAGGAAGACGGUUUUCGGAUUGUAAACCUCUGUCCUCUGUGAAGAUAAUGACGGUAUCAGUAGAGUAAGCUCCAGCUAAAUACGUGCCAGCAGCCGCGGUGAUACGUAGGGAGCGAGCGUUGUACGGAUUUACUGGGUGUAAAGGGUGCGUAGGCGGGCCUGCAAGUCAGAAGUGAAAUCCAUGGGCUUAACCCGUGAACUGCGUUUGAAACUGUAGUGCUUGAGUGAAGUAGAGGCAGGCGGAAUUCCUGGUGUAGCGGUGAAAUGCGUAGAGAUCGGGAGGAACACCAGUGGCGAAGGCGGCCUGCUGGGCUUUAACUGACGCUGAAGCACGAAAGCGUGGGUAGCAAACAGGAUUAGAUACCCCUGUAGUC
RNAcentral lists this ribosomal RNA (440 nucleotides) under uncultured bacterium. RNAcentral's name for it is "partial 16S ribosomal RNA". It matches the Rfam family "Bacterial small subunit ribosomal RNA", at positions 338 to 795 of the family's 1533-position model. The record is from RNAcentral.